UUUAUGGAGAGUUUGAUCCUGGCUCAGGAUGAACGCUGGCGGCGUGCCUAAUACAUGCAAGUCGAGCGAACGGACGAGAAGCUUGCUUAUCUGAUGUUAGCGGCGGACGGGUGAGUAACACGUGGAUAACCUACCUAUAAGACUGGGAUAACUUCGGGAAACCGGAGCUAAUACCGGAUAAUAUUUUGAACCGCAUGGUUCAAAAGUGAAAGACGGUCUUGCUGUCACUUAUAGAUGGAUCCGCGCUGCAUUAGCUAGUUGGUAAGGUAACGGCUUACCAAGGCAACGAUGCAUAGCCGACCUGAGAGGGUGAUCGGCCACACUGGAACUGAGACACGGUCCAGACUCCUACGGGAGGCAGCAGUAGGGAAUCUUCCGCAAUGGGCGAAAGCCUGACGGAGCAACGCCGCGUGAGUGAUGAAGGUCUUCGGAUCGUAAAACUCUGUUAUUAGGGAAGAACAUAUGUGUAAGUAACUGUGCACAUCUUGACGGUACCUAAUCAGAAAGCCACGGCUAACUACGUGCCAGCAGCCGCGGUAAUACGUAGGUGGCAAGCGUUAUCCGGAAUUAUUGGGCGUAAAGCGCGCGUAGGCGGUUUUUUAAGUCUGAUGUGAAAGCCCACGGCUCAACCGUGGAGGGUCAUUGGAAACUGGAAAACUUGAGUGCAGAAGAGGAAAGUGGAAUUCCAUGUGUAGCGGUGAAAUGCGCAGAGAUAUGGAGGAACACCAGUGGCGAAGGCGACUUUCUGGUCUGUAACUGACGCUGAUGUGCGAAAGCGUGGGGAUCAAACAGGAUUAGAUACCCUGGUAGUCCACGCCGUAAACGAUGAGUGCUAAGUGUUAGGGGGUUUCCGCCCCUUAGUGCUGCAGCUAACGCAUUAAGCACUCCGCCUGGGGAGUACGACCGCAAGGUUGAAACUCAAAGGAAUUGACGGGGACCCGCACAAGCGGUGGAGCAUGUGGUUUAAUUCGAAGCAACGCGAAGAACCUUACCAAAUCUUGACAUCCUUUGACAACUCUAGAGAUAGAGCCUUCCCCUUCGGGGGACAAAGUGACAGGUGGUGCAUGGUUGUCGUCAGCUCGUGUCGUGAGAUGUUGGGUUAAGUCCCGCAACGAGCGCAACCCUUAAGCUUAGUUGCCAUCAUUAAGUUGGGCACUCUAAGUUGACUGCCGGUGACAAACCGGAGGAAGGUGGGGAUGACGUCAAAUCAUCAUGCCCCUUAUGAUUUGGGCUACACACGUGCUACAAUGGACAAUACAAAGGGCAGCGAAACCGCGAGGUCAAGCAAAUCCCAUAAAGUUGUUCUCAGUUCGGAUUGUAGUCUGCAACUCGACUACAUGAAGCUGGAAUCGCUAGUAAUCGUAGAUCAGCAUGCUACGGUGAAUACGUUCCCGGGUCUUGUACACACCGCCCGUCACACCACGAGAGUUUGUAACACCCGAAGCCGGUGGAGUAACCUUUUAGGAGCUAGCCGUCGAAGGUGGGACAAAUGAUUGGGGUGAAGUCGUAACAAGGUAGCCGUAUCGGAAGGUGCGGCUGGAUCACCUCCUUUCU
RNAcentral lists this ribosomal RNA (1554 nucleotides) under Staphylococcus aureus. RNAcentral's name for it is "16S ribosomal RNA". It matches the Rfam family "Bacterial small subunit ribosomal RNA". Lineage: Bacteria; Bacillati; Bacillota; Bacilli; Caryophanales; Staphylococcaceae. The record is from RNAcentral.